This 1367-nucleotide long non-coding RNA is filed under the name Canis lupus familiaris (dog). Its description in RNAcentral is "lncRNA (ENSCAFG00845004150.1)". The record is from RNAcentral. Lineage: Eukaryota; Metazoa; Chordata; Mammalia; Carnivora; Canidae.
CUGGAGACUUCAACCUGUGCCCUUUGGCCUAAACCUUCAGGGUCCUAACCUGUCCAAUCUCUCUCUCCUUCCUCAGGAAUCACUUCAAUUCCCUGACUACUUGGUUGGCUUUCUUUGAGAUUCCUUCCAGAUAUCUGGCCUUUUCACCCUGGAGUUCCUGCAUCCAGAGUGGCUCUUCUGUAAAGAAAAAGACCAUAAAAAGCAGAGUAUGAAAUUUGGAGGGCCUCUUCAACAGCAUAUAAAGAGACUCUUAUCUGCUGCAUCCACAAGGUGGGAAAAGUCAGGCCCAGGACUUUGUCGUGGGAGUGGCCCCAAUCCUCCAAAAUGGAUUGAGUUCUUAACCUCCGCAGAUCUGCUGUAUCAAUUCAGGAGCUGAGGUGGGAAGGAGGCACCCUGAGGACUGAGAUGGUGUCAUUCUGGUGGAUGCACUUGACAACCUUGAAGCCCCAGAUCCCUCGAAACCCCAUGACCCUGCUCCGGUGAGCCACCCCUCCAGCUAGAGGUUAGCUGGAAGACCAUGCAGACAGAAGCAGUUGCCUUUCAAAGCCCUGUAUACUCCUCUCAGGAUGUACACCUGCCUCUCCUCCCAGCACCAAACCAAAAUCAGGGGUCAAGUCUUAACAACACAGCUGGGGAAGUGUAAGACACCUGCCAAAGGAUGGAAGUGACUGUCCCCAGGAGAAGAGUUCAUAGGGCCUGGAUCCUGGAGGUAUGGACCACCCAGGGAUAGGGGCACAAGAUUGCACAAGGGAGAGUUUGUUGAUGUGGAAGCACUUCUAUAUCCAUAUACCACAUGUGACCCCUGGGAGAAAGUGCCAAAGUGCUGCAAAGAUAGAUCUUGGAAGCUUGGAGACAGCAGUGGUACACAUCAGAUGAAGCAGAAAUUUCCGUGCCACUGUGGCAGAUGAGGAAGCAAGAGUCAAAGGCUUGGAGGUGCACAUUCCCCAGUACGCUAACUGCGUACAGAAACCCAGCUUCAAAAAACAACUUAAAAUGGCCAGGAAGACGGCAGUAGUUCAGAUCCUUUGGAGUCCCAGCCAUCUUAGAGCUCAAGAUAAGUUUGUGAGCAUUGCGAAGCAAAAGAAAAAAAAGAAAGAGAUUCACCAUCUAGCCAGCUGCGUAAAGAAGAAAUCCAUUCCCACCUGUCUGCAUUUGAUUGAACCUCCAUGAACCGCCAAUGCCACGCACCCUGGAGGAACCAGAUUAAAGACCUACAGGAGACAUCAUAUAGAUCUUCUUAGACAGGUGCUUUUCACACCUCUGCAGUUUAUCUAAGGCUCACUUCACAAAGACUUGGAGGGAGCCCUGCCCUUCCUGAAGCACAUGAAGUAAAAUAAACCCAGAGCUAAAGGUAAGAUGCUCAAGAC